Long non-coding RNA from Juglans microcarpa x Juglans regia, 414 nucleotides. RefSeq lists it as uncharacterized. The transcript has 2 exons. Lineage: Eukaryota; Viridiplantae; Streptophyta; Magnoliopsida; Fagales; Juglandaceae. The record is from RefSeq and is a predicted model, not a curated record.
UACUUGGGGUUGCUCUCUAGUGUUAUUGGUGAAUGAUUGGGUAGUAACAGCAGCAAUGAGAAUCGGUUUACGUUCCUUGGCAUAAUUUUUGCAGACGUCAAAUAACUUGAAACUCGUACGACGUUCUCUCUCUAUAAAUAAAUAUAUUUUAAAUCUUAGCGCCAGUCCACUUCUACUGAUUUUUUUGGAGUCUUGGACUUAUCCAAUAGUAUUAUUUGUCUUUUUAAAUAUUUUUUAAAUCCAUUUAAACAUUUUAUCCUUCUGUUCGGAUUGUUUUCCUUGACUCUAUAUUCAUGCAUAAUCCAGUUAGUCUUCUUACCCUUUGGAGGUCUUCCCCUAUAAAAAACCAAUGCCUUCUUAUACCCAACUACGGCUCCAUUGGAUUUGAUUUCCCUGUUAGCUCUGGUGGCCUAC